UACAGAGGUCUCAAGCGUUGUUCGGAUUCAUUGGGCGUAACGGGUGUGUAGGUGGCGCGCUAAGUCGGGUGUGAAAUUUCGGAGCUUAACUCCGAAACUGCAUUCGAUACUGGCGUGCUUGAGGACUGGAGAGGAGACUGGAAUUCAUGGUGUAGCAGUGAAAUGCGUAGAGAUCAUGAGGAAGACCAGUGGCGAAGGCGGGUCUCCGGACAGUUCCUGACACUGAGACACGAGGGCCAGGGGAGCAAACGGG
Molecule: ribosomal RNA, 253 nt
Filed under: uncultured bacterium
Lineage: Bacteria
Description: partial 16S ribosomal RNA
Rfam family: Bacterial small subunit ribosomal RNA
Source: RNAcentral